This 650-nucleotide ribosomal RNA is filed under the name Pseudomonas helmanticensis. Its description in RNAcentral is "bacterial SSU rRNA". It matches the Rfam family "Bacterial small subunit ribosomal RNA", at positions 37 to 682 of the family's 1533-position model. The record is from RNAcentral. Lineage: Bacteria; Pseudomonadati; Pseudomonadota; Gammaproteobacteria; Pseudomonadales; Pseudomonadaceae.
UGGCGGCAGGCCUAACACAUGCAAGUCGAGCGGUAGAGAGGAGCUUGCUCCUUGAUUCAGCGGCGGACGGGUGAGUAAUGCCUAGGAAUCUGCCUGGUAGUGGGGGACAACGUUUCGAAAGGAACGCUAAUACCGCAUACGUCCUACGGGAGAAAGCAGGGGACCUUCGGGCCUUGCGCUAUCAGAUGAGCCUAGGUCGGAUUAGCUAGUUGGUGAGGUAAUGGCUCACCAAGGCGACGAUCCGUAACUGGUCUGAGAGGAUGAUCAGUCACACUGGAACUGAGACACGGUCCAGACUCCUACGGGAGGCAGCAGUGGGGAAUAUUGGACAAUGGGCGAAAGCCUGAUCCAGCCAUGCCGCGUGUGUGAAGAAGGUCUUCGGAUUGUAAAGCACUUUAAGUUGGGAGGAAGGGCAGUAAAUUAAUACGUUGCUGUUUUGACGUUACCGACAGAAUAAGCACCGGCUAACUCUGUGCCAGCAGCCGCGGUAAUACAGAGGGUGCAAGCGUUAAUCGGAAUUACUGGGCGUAAAGCGCGCGUAGGUGGUUCGUUAAGUUGGAUGUGAAAUCCCCGGGCUCAACCUGGGAACUGCAUUCAAAACUGUCGAGCUAAAGUAUGGUAGAGGGUGGUGGAAUUUCCUGUGUAGCGGU